UUGAACGAAACCUCUGGCUGGAUGCUGUUGUGCUGGCCCUUUGGGGCAAAUGUGCACGCUCUCUGGUCGUUUGUUUCUUCUGUUCCACCUGUGCACUGCCUGUAGACACGCUCUGUGUCUAUGAUAUGUUCACACACACACACGGAUGUAUUAUGCAUAUAUAAAUAAAAAUAAAAAUAAAAU
RNAcentral lists this unclassified non-coding RNA (183 nucleotides) under Amanita sp. 'N63'. RNAcentral describes it as "Amanita sp. 'sp-N63' ITW1". The record is from RNAcentral. Lineage: Eukaryota; Fungi; Basidiomycota; Agaricomycetes; Agaricales; Amanitaceae.